Molecule: ribosomal RNA, 253 nt
Filed under: uncultured bacterium
Lineage: Bacteria
Description: partial 16S ribosomal RNA
Rfam family: Bacterial small subunit ribosomal RNA
Source: RNAcentral
UACGGGGGGGGCAAGCGUUGUUCGGAAUUACUGGGCGGAAAGGGCUCGUAGGCGGCCAACUAAGUCAGACGUGAAAUCCCUCGGCUUAACCGGGGAACUGCGUCUGAUACUGGAUGGCUUGAGUUCGGGAGAGGGAUGUGGAAUUCCAGGUGUAGCGGUGAAAUGCGUAGAUAUCUGGAGGACCACCGGUGGCGAAGGCGGCAUCCUGGACCGACACUGACGCUGAUGAGCGAAAGCCAGGGGAGCAAACGGG